RNAcentral lists this ribosomal RNA (784 nucleotides) under uncultured Bacteroidota bacterium. Its description in RNAcentral is "bacterial SSU rRNA". It matches the Rfam family "Bacterial small subunit ribosomal RNA", at positions 60 to 850 of the family's 1533-position model. The record is from RNAcentral. Lineage: Bacteria; Pseudomonadati; Bacteroidota.
AGUCGAGGGGUAUUUAUCUUCGGAUAGAGAGACCGGCGCACGGGUGCGUAACGCGUAUGCAAUCUACCUUUUACAGAGGGAUAGCCCAGAGAAAUUUGGAUUAAUACCUCAUAGUAUUAUGAAAUGGCAUCAUUUUAUAAUUAAAGUCACAACGGUAAAAGAUGAGCAUGCGUCCCAUUAGCUAGUUGGUAAGGUAACGGCUUACCAAGGCUACGAUGGGUAGGGGUCCUGAGAGGGAGAUCCCCCACACUGGUACUGAGACACGGACCAGACUCCUACGGGAGGCAGCAGUGAGGAAUAUUGGACAAUGGGCGCAAGCCUGAUCCAGCCAUGCCGCGUGCAGGAUGACGGUCCUAUGGAUUGUAAACUGCUUUUAUACGAGAAGAAACACUCCAACGUGUUGGAGCUUGACGGUAUCGUAAGAAUAAGGAUCGGCUAACUCCGUGCCAGCAGCCGCGGUAAUACGGAGGAUCCAAGCGUUAUCCGGAAUCAUUGGGUUUAAAGGGUCCGUAGGCGGUUUAGUAAGUCAGUGGUGAAAGCCCAUCGCUCAACGGUGGAACGGCCAUUGAUACUGCUGAACUUGAAUUAUUAGGAAGUAACUAGAAUAUGUAGUGUAGCGGUGAAAUGCUUANAGAUUACAUGGAAUACCAAUUGCGAAGGCAGGUUACUACUAAUGGAUUGACGCUGAUGGACGAAAGCGUGGGUAGCGAACAGGAUUAGAUACCCUGGUAGUCCACGCCGUAAACGAUGGAUACUAGCUGUUGGGAGCAAUCUCAGUGGCUAA